GGAUGAUCUGAUUUUCCUCUUCUGCCUAGAUGUACGUGACCUCGCUCUACCAGAGAAGAGAUUGGGGCACCUGCUGGCCCGGAACCUACUGGGAUGAAAACUGCACUAAAACAUCCAAGAGUCUGACAAUCAGUACCGACCCAUCUGAAGAUUCCCUGCCUUCUCUGCACUUUCUACCUGCUUGUCCUCUUAGACAUGGGAGAUGCUUCAGAAACCGAUCCCGGGUUUCCAGGCAAGACUGAGUUUUAACACCAACAAUGCAGCAGAGUUUCACAGAGUAAUCACUGUAUUCCAGACCCUCUUGCAAAGGCUUUACGCACAUGAACUCAUUUAACCUUUGGAUCCAUGCUUCAAGGUAGGCACCAUCAUGUGUACCUAUUCUACAGAUGAAGAA
This 394-nucleotide long non-coding RNA is filed under the name Mustela putorius furo (domestic ferret). RNAcentral's name for it is "lncRNA (ENSMPUG00000023865.1)". Lineage: Eukaryota; Metazoa; Chordata; Mammalia; Carnivora; Mustelidae. The record is from RNAcentral.